AUUCAGUUAACGAGUCCCAAAUAGGACAAAACGUGCGUCGUGGAU
Schistosoma rodhaini is the source of this 45-nucleotide non-coding RNA. NCBI's taxonomy places the organism in Eukaryota, Metazoa, Platyhelminthes, Trematoda, Strigeidida, Schistosomatidae. The record is from Rfam.